AUCUAUCUUAUUUCACUUUUGUUAUACUUUUGAUAGUGUUUGAUAUUUCACAUUAAUUAAUAUAAAUUUUAUUUAAAAAAAUUUAUGUAUUUUUUAUAAUUUUUUUCUUGCAUAAAAAUUUUUAAAAAUAAAUUUGAUAUAUUUUUUGGAAAACUCUAAUUAGAGAAUAGUAUUAUAUUUUUCAUAAAUUUUAAAUAAUAUAAAAUUAUAUUUGAGAGUAAAAUUAGUAUUAUGAUAUCCUAUAAUUUUUUAGUUUAUAUGAACCAAACAAUGGAAUGGAAAUAACUCAUUCCAAUUUCCAAUCCACAAAUGAGCUAGACGACUUGGGGGAGAGGGCCAAUCUAUACCAUUCCAAUUUAUUUCCAUUCAAUUAUCCAUUCCAUUUCCACCCUUGAGCGAAACAAGCCCUAAGUGAAAUGUCAAUUUUGUUAUCAUAAAUAUGUCCCUCGAAAAGCCACAACAGUAUAAUAUAAGAGGGGCAAAAAUAUCAAGUUAUUUGAUAAAUUAAUUAGAGUUAAGCAUUGAUUUAAUAUAUGGUUAAUUAAAAUUUUCUAACAUUUUCUAACGAAAGGGACAUAUUUGAAAACAUUAGAAUUUUUGUAGGGACAAUAUAUGAAAGUUGAACUUUAUAUGAAUAUAUUUGCAAUUCACUAUAUUUGUAGGAACCUGUAUGAAAUUAACCCUUAUUUUAUCUAUACAAAUCUAUUAAUCCCCAAUGUUUUGU
RNAcentral lists this long non-coding RNA (724 nucleotides) under Ananas comosus (pineapple). RNAcentral describes it as "long non-coding RNA (ACOM_LNC031340)". Lineage: Eukaryota; Viridiplantae; Streptophyta; Magnoliopsida; Poales; Bromeliaceae. The record is from RNAcentral.